CCGGUAAUUUUUAAUUACUUGGGUUUCAAGCUAUUGAGUUCCAUUUUGAUAUUAAUUAAUAAUUUAUUUAAUUAUAAUUAUAAACUGUGGUUUAUAAUUCUGGAAUAUCAAUUGGGUCGGUUUAGACUUGGGUCGCCGACAUGUGGGUUUAGCCUGGUAGUUUUAAGAAACUCGGCUAACCCACUAUUUGAGGAAUUUAUUUAAUUAUUAUUUAAAUAAUAUUUUGAAGUGGUUUUUAAGGUGAGGACUCAAUAGACUUGAAUUAUUUACGGCAUUAUAAAUUAAUUUAGAAUUGUGUUUUUUUUUUCUGUGAUUUUAUCUGGCUUAUUUAGUUGUGCUAGUCCUACGUGGUGUCUAGAAUUCUUAGAGUUAGGGGUUGGAGUGAUUUUAACGUAUGAUUUAUUUUUAAACUCUUCGACUACUUGCACUCCAGAGUCGAAUCAGGGUUAGCUGUUUGCCGAAGUUUCACGUGGAUAAGCAAGCAGUUUAUGAUUUGAAAGCUGGUCCACUCCGAUUCUUUUGAUUCUUCGGAGGUUUUUAUGUUAUUAAACUAGUUUCUGUUUUCAAACUCUUAGACCGCAGUAGAACUAGUUUAUUUAUUACAUUUGAUAUUACACUUUGGGAUUGUCGAUAUAUUCGAUUAUUUAUAUUUGGCAUGAUUACUCUGGAUUACGAUAUUAUUAUAUAUAAGGCAUGCUGUUGAGCA
Molecule: long non-coding RNA, 706 nt
Organism: Mercurialis annua (annual mercury)
Lineage: Eukaryota; Viridiplantae; Streptophyta; Magnoliopsida; Malpighiales; Euphorbiaceae
Exons: 2
Source: RefSeq, a predicted model, not a curated record